This 497-nucleotide ribosomal RNA is filed under the name uncultured bacterium. RNAcentral describes it as "partial 16S ribosomal RNA". It matches the Rfam family "Bacterial small subunit ribosomal RNA", at positions 28 to 507 of the family's 1533-position model. The record is from RNAcentral.
GAUGAACGCUGGCGGCGUGCCUAAUACAUGCAAGUCGAGCGAACAGACGAGGAGCUUGCUCCUCUGACGUUAGCGGCGGACGGGUGAGUAACACGUGGAUAAGCGAUAUAUAGGACUGGGAUAACGUCGUGAAACCUGAGCUAAUACCGGGUAAUAGAGAGAACAGCAUGGCUCAAGAGGGAAAGACGGUUUUGCGGUCACUUAGAGAUGUAUUCGCGCCGCAUUAGCUAGUUGGUAAGGUAACGGCUUACCAAGGCAACGAUGCGUAGCCGACCUGAGAGGGUGAUCGGACACCCUGGAACUGAGACACGGUCCAGACUCCUACGGGAGGCAGCAGUAGGGAAUCUUCCGCAAUGGGGGAAAGCCUGACGGAGCAACGCCGCGUGAGUGAUGAAGGUCUUCGGAUCGUAAAACUCUGUUAUUAGGGAAGAACAAAUGUGUAAGUAACUAUGCACGUCUUGACGGUACCUAAUCAGAAAGCCACGGCUAACUACGUG